This 548-nucleotide ribosomal RNA is filed under the name Funneliformis mosseae. RNAcentral's name for it is "SSU rRNA". It matches the Rfam family "Eukaryotic small subunit ribosomal RNA", at positions 548 to 1098 of the family's 1831-position model. Lineage: Eukaryota; Fungi; Glomeromycota; Glomeromycetes; Glomerales; Glomeraceae. RNAcentral also lists the same sequence under 1 other name. The record is from RNAcentral.
UUGGAGGGCAAGUCUGGUGCCAGCAGCCGCGGUAAUUCCAGCUCCAAUAGCGUAUAUUAAAGUUGUUGCAGUUAAAAAGCUCGUAGUUGAAUUUCGGGAUCAAUAUUUCGGUCAUGCCGUUGGUAUGCACUGUUAUCAUUGAUUUCUCACCUUCUAAAGAACCGUAAUGCCAUUAAUUUGGUGUUACGGGGAAUUAGGACUGUUACCUUGAAAAAAUUAGAGUGUUUAAAGCAGGCUCACGCUUGAAUACAUUAGCAUGGAAUAAUGAAAUAGGACAUCCGAUUCUAUUUUGUUGGUUUCUAGGAUCGAUGUAAUGAUUAAUAGGGAUAGUUGGGGGCAUUAGUAUUCAAUUGUCAGAGGUGAAAUUCUUGGAUUUAUUGAAGACUAACUACUGCGAAAGCAUUUGCCAAGGAUGUUUUCAUUAAUCAAGAACGAAAGUUAGGGGAUCGAAGACGAUCAGAUACCGUCGUAGUCUUAACCAUAAACUAUGCCGACUAGGGAUCGGAGAGUUAAUUUUUUAAUGACUCAUUCGGCGCCUUACGGGAAAC